GGUAAUUGAGCUUAGUACGAGAGGAACCGCUCAUUCAGAUAAUUGGUUUUUGCGGUUGUCCGACCGGGCAGUGCCGCGACGCUACCAUCUGCUGGAUAAUGGCUGAACGCCUCUAAGUCAGAAUCCAUGCCAGAACGCGAUGAUACCUCCAGCACGUUGUAGACGUAUAAGAAUAGGCUCCGGCCU
Molecule: ribosomal RNA, 186 nt
Filed under: Salmonella enterica subsp. enterica serovar Agona
Lineage: Bacteria; Pseudomonadati; Pseudomonadota; Gammaproteobacteria; Enterobacterales; Enterobacteriaceae
Description: partial 23S ribosomal RNA
Rfam family: Eukaryotic large subunit ribosomal RNA
Source: RNAcentral